UUUAGAGAGAACCGCAGGAGUGAAGUGAGAAAGAAGAAGAAGAGAAAAGAGGGGAAAAUAAGGGAAAAAGGAAAGGAGUUGGAGGAAAUAAGUAAAAAGGGAUAAUCCUGAUAUUCUACCGGCGGGACGUCAGUAGGAUUUUCUUCGAUAUCAGCUUUGAGUUUUGUUGCUUUCGAGUCAGGUGA
Populus nigra (black poplar) is the source of this 185-nucleotide long non-coding RNA. RefSeq lists it as uncharacterized. The transcript is spliced from 2 exons. The record is from RefSeq and is a predicted model, not a curated record. Lineage: Eukaryota; Viridiplantae; Streptophyta; Magnoliopsida; Malpighiales; Salicaceae.